Molecule: ribosomal RNA, 484 nt
Filed under: uncultured bacterium
Lineage: Bacteria
Description: partial 16S ribosomal RNA
Rfam family: Bacterial small subunit ribosomal RNA
Source: RNAcentral
AUUGAACGCUGGCGGCAUGCUUUACACAUGCAAGUCGAACGGCAGCGCGGGCUUCGGCCUGGCGGCGAGUGGCGAACGGGUGAGUAAUACAUCGGAACGUGCCCAGUAGUGGGGGAUAGCUCGGCGAAAGCCGGACUAAUACCGCAUACGACCUGAGGGUGAAAGCGGGGGAUCUUCGGACCUCGCGCUAUUGGAGCGGCCGAUGGCAGAUUAGCUAGUUGGUGGGGUAAAGGCCUACCAAGGCGACGAUCUGUAGCUGGUCUGAGAGGACGACCAGCCACACUGGGACUGAGACACGGCCCAGACUCCUACGGGAGGCAGCAGUGGGGAAUUUUGGGCAAUGGGCGAAAGCCUGAUCCAGCAAUGCCGCGUGUGUGAUGAAGGCCUUCGGGUUGUAAAGCACUUUUGGCGGGAACGAAAAGGACUGUGCCAAUACCACGGUUCGAUGACGGUACCCGCAGAAUAAGCACCGGCUAACUACGUG